GAAAGGCGGGCUAAACCCGCGUACAUGCCACCGGGGCAUCCCGGAGGCAGGAAAGGCUUCGGCCGGACAGGGAUGGGCAUGCGGCGCAUUAGGCAGUAGGCGGGGUAACGGCCCACCUAACCGACGAUGCGUAGGGGUUCUGAGAGGAAGGUCCCCCACACUGGUACUGAGACACGGACCAGACUCCUACGGGAGGCAGCAGUGAGGAAUAUUGGUCAAUGGUCGGGAGACUGAACCAGCCAAGCCGCGUGAGGGAGGAAGGUACAGAGUAUCGUAAACCUCUUUUGUCAGGGAACAAAGACUGGGACGCGUCCCCGGAUGAGUGUACCUGAAGAAAAAGCAUCGGCUAACUCCGUGCCAGCGGCCGCGGUAAUACGGAGGAUGCGAGCGUUAUCCGGAUUUAUUGGGUUUAAAGGGUGCGCAGGCGGUCUGUUAAGUCAGCGGUCAAAGCCCGGGGCUCAACCCCGGCCCGCCGUUGAAACUGGCAGUCUCGAGUUGGAGAGAAGUAUGCGGAAUGCGCGGUGUAGCGGUGAAAUGCAUAGAUAUCGCGCAGAACUCCGAUUGCGAAGGCAGCAUGCCGGCUCCACACUGACGCUGAGGCACGAAAGCGUGGGUAUCGAACAGGAUUAGAUACCCUGGUAGUCC
Molecule: ribosomal RNA, 645 nt
Filed under: uncultured bacterium
Lineage: Bacteria
Description: bacterial SSU rRNA
Rfam family: Bacterial small subunit ribosomal RNA
Source: RNAcentral